AGCUGUAUUCCAUAAUAUCUAAAAAGUUUUUUUUUUCUUUUCUUUUAGAGUAGUUAUCUAUUGAAUCUUGAAACUUCUGUUCACUCACAAUUCUUCAGACCACAAAACAAUGGUCGUUGACAACCGCCUCAAGCACAACGAUAUUUGUUGUAAUAUUACAGUAGCUCUGGUCAGUGUGUAAUCCCUGACGUCAGAACUUAAUCGCCGGAGAGGAUUGCCUGAAAACGAUCGGUUUACUGACGAAAACAGAGCGGUUUUCCGGUGAUUAUAGGGAGAGAAAGAGGAACAGUUGUAGAGAGAGAAAGUGAACAGUGGAUCUCCAAAAAACCGUCAUCUCCGGCGACGAUUAAACAGCCGAGAUCGGAGGAACCGCGUCGUCGCUGCCGGUGAAUGUGCCGGACUGGUUGAAGAUGAUUGUAGUGCCGGUUAACCGGUGAGAUGAAUCGCCGGAGGAAGGUUUCCAGUGCUACAGUACGAGAUAUUGAUGGCGUACCUGAAUUUGAUGAACGAAAAUUAUCGAAAUUGCAGAAAAAAAUGUUGGAGAUCAAAGUGGAUUCUCGUGCAUGAGAAGAGAGCAAUCGUGCUGAUAACGUGAUAUAAACCAAUUGGAAUUCUCUAUUAGAUUGCAAGUGAUUGUAUUAAAUCUUCUGGAAAACCAACAUCAAAAUAACAAUAUACAAGAGUAUUAUAUAAUACAUGCAGUUACAAGAUGUUAACUGCCAAGGCAGUUACAUGGGGGAAACGUACAAGGUGUUAACUGCCAAGGCAGUUACAUGGGGAAAACGUAUAUCUGGUUUUAUAACAU
This 805-nucleotide long non-coding RNA is filed under the name Helianthus annuus (common sunflower). The record is from RNAcentral. Lineage: Eukaryota; Viridiplantae; Streptophyta; Magnoliopsida; Asterales; Asteraceae.